RNAcentral lists this ribosomal RNA (501 nucleotides) under uncultured bacterium. RNAcentral describes it as "bacterial SSU rRNA". It matches the Rfam family "Bacterial small subunit ribosomal RNA", at positions 30 to 507 of the family's 1533-position model. The record is from RNAcentral.
AUUGAACGCUGGCGGCGUGCUUAACACAUGCAAGUCGAGCGGUAACAGGCGUAGCAAUACGUGCCGACGAGCGGCGAACGGGUGAGUAAUGCUUCGGAAUCUACCCAGUAAUGGGGAAUAACCAACCGAAAGGUUGGCUAAUGCCGCAUACGUCCCUUUUUCGUAUUGGAAAUUGGAGAAAGCGGGGGCCCGUAAGACCUCGCGUUAUUGGAUGAGCCGAAGUCGGAUUAGCUAGUUGGUGAGGUAACGGCUCACCAAGGCGACAAUCCGUAGCUGGUCUGAGAGGACGACCAGCCACACUGGGACUGAGACACGGCCCAGACUCCUACGGGAGGCAGCAGUGGGGAAUAUUGGACAAUGGGGGCAACCCUGAUCCAGCGACGCCGCGUGUGUGAAGAAGGCCUGCGGGUUGUAAAGCACUUUUAGUGGGGACAAAAAGCUACGGGCUAAUACCCUGUGGUCUUGAUUUAACCCAAAGAAAAAGCACCGGCUAACUCUGUG